This 299-nucleotide ribosomal RNA is filed under the name uncultured Cercozoa. RNAcentral's name for it is "partial 18S ribosomal RNA". The stretch from base 102 to 299 matches the Rfam family "Eukaryotic small subunit ribosomal RNA", at positions 739 to 955 of the family's 1831-position model. Lineage: Eukaryota; Cercozoa. The record is from RNAcentral.
GACUUCUGGUUUAAUGCACCUGGCCCGCGGCCCACAAGGCCUGUGAGUGCCGGCGCGCGUUUACCAUCCUUCCAGCAACGGCUACCCUUAACUGGGCGGCUGGAACUGGAGCUUUUACUUUGAAAAAAUUAGAGUGUUUAAAGCAGGCGUUUGCUCUGAAUACAUUAGCAUGGAAUAAUAAUCUAGGACUUCGGUUCUAUUUUGUUGGUUUCUAUAACUGAAGUAAGUUGGGGGUGCUAGUAUUGGCCGGUCAGAGGUGAAAUUCUUGGUCGGUCAAGACUAACUUAUGCGAAAGCAUU